ACCGUAGGUGGCGAGCGUUAUCCGGAUUCAUUGGGCGUAAAGCGCGCGUAGGCGGCUCGGAAAGUCGGGCGUGAAAUGCCGGGGCUCAACCCCGGGACUGCGUCCGAUACUUCCGAGCUGGAGGUAGGUAGGGGAGAUCGGAAUUCCUGGUGUAGCGGUGAAAUGCGCAGAUAUCAGGAGGAACACCGGUGGCGAAGGCGGAUCUCUGGGCCUUACCUGACGCUGAGGCGCGAAAGCUAGGGGAGCGAACAGG
RNAcentral lists this ribosomal RNA (253 nucleotides) under uncultured bacterium. RNAcentral's name for it is "partial 16S ribosomal RNA". It matches the Rfam family "Bacterial small subunit ribosomal RNA", at positions 524 to 776 of the family's 1533-position model. The record is from RNAcentral.